GUGUUCCACCUGUGCUGGUUGCCAUCACGUUAGUGGGAAGGUUUUUUGCCUGCCCAGGUGCUCUUUAAGAGUAGCUGGCCCAGUCCUCUUGAGAGAUGUAGAGGGACCCUCCCUAUCUGAUUUCUAGAAAAAUAUUCCUUUGUCUGAUUUAGUUUUGUGCCACCUUUUUGGCAUUGAAAUAACCUGGUGGAGCUUGUGACCUCCUGUGGGAACUACAGCCAGUACCGCCAGCGUAUCUCAGAGAGCACGGGCUUUCGCUUCCCCAUCCUGGGAGUGCACCUCAAGGACCUGAUAGCAGUGCACGUGACCCUGCCCGACUGAAGCGACUGCGAGAAGACCCAGGUCAACCUGGCCAAGACCCAUCAGCUGUAUUCAAUCCUCCAGGAGCUAGCGCUGAUCCAGACCACACCACCCAGUGUUGAUGCCACCAUGGACCUGCUCAACCUGCUCAUGGUUUGGCCCAGAUGACUGAUACUGAAUGACUUGAUAGAUUUGUUUUACCGUCAGUGUUUAACAAUUCCACCACUGAUGAAGACGGCUACAUCUCUCAGGAGGAAAUUGAGAUCAUUAGGACCAACUUCCCAUACCUCUGCAAGUUUGAUGACCUGGACAAGAGUCACCUGUGGGGUGAGCUGUCACAAAGACUGUCGCAGCCGCCUUGCUGUUGAGUGCUGCAAACCAACAAAGAGUGCCAGUCACGAUCCUUCAGUGUGCCUGAUAUGGUUUAGCCCCUACACAUUCUACAUCACAGAGCCAUUGCAGAGGAAGCACCUGACUCUCUGGAGGAUGAAGUGUUUGAUGUCCACCUUUGAGAACAGUCUCACUUCGUCGGGCGUGGACUCCACAGGGAUGCUGGCCCAUGUUGACUCCAAUGCUUCCCACACUUUUGUGAAGUUUACUGGAUGUCGUUUGGGUGGCGGACCAUUCUACACAUAGGAAACUGUUGAAUGUGAAAAACCCAGCAGCGUUGCAGUUCUUGAUACACUGAAACCAGUGCGCCAGGCACCUACUCCCUUACCCCGUUCAAAGGCAUUUAAAUAUUUUGUUUUGCCCAUUCACCCUCUGAAUUGCACAUAUACACAAUACUUGUCUCAAAGCUUAUAAAUCCUUAUUUAACCUGUCUCCUCCCCUUAAUCUACACUGAUUGAAGUGAAUUUAACAGGUGACAUCAAUAAGGGAUCAUAGCUUUCACCUGGUCAGUCUGUCAUGGAAAGAACCUGUUCCUAAUGUUUUGUACACUGUGUAUGUCAACAUCUCCUAGUGUGAGCAAUGUUCCUGAUCAAAUGCUCUAUCUGCAAGUGUUUUGAUGUAGUCUCUAAACAAUUCCUAUCUAAAGUCAUCCUUUUUAGACUGCAUUUCUCUUUUUCCUGAAUUAAUUUUGUGGUCCACUUACUAGUUAAUUUUCACAUCAGAAUGAAGACCAACAUUGACGAGAACACAAACUUUUCCCAUGCUGCCAAGCUGAACUUAAAUGGGGACCGACAGCAAUGACACUCUGAAGAUAGAAAUGUAUUUGCUCCUGUUUGGAUAUACAAUGCACGCUAAGAACAUUGCAAUUUUCGGACUUUCUUAAGAAUGUCCACAUUUUCCCCAAAGUUUUAGAGCUAUUGAACCUGAGGAAGGAUUGUGUAACUAUAUGUUUACUUGCUAAUGAUAAUUUGAUGAUCCAGUCAAUACAUGUUGUGCUGAUUUGUGUAUUUGUUUUCUGAUGAAUUAAUCCUUCAUUCUCUCAGCCAUAGUAUUAUUUGCCCAGAGCUUUCACAGUAGGUAAACCUAGAGUAGAUGCAUAUCUCUGUAUGUGCUUGUAUACGGUUCAUGAUUGCUGAAGGUUGCUUCUCCGCAAGGUGGUGAGGUUUUGUGUCAACACUGGAUAGCAUAGGCUACCACUGGGAUUUAGCAUUCUGUAGUUCAUUCACAUUCCCUGUUUUUAGUGUAGCCCUAUGUUUGUGUAUAACAUGUGGGAGUGGAUUGUUGAUGACAAGUUAAAUUGAGGUUCUUUCCUCAGCUAGCCAACCAUGUUCAUGUUUGAUUACAUUGUAAUGUGGUACAAUUUAAAAGGCAGAAAGAUCUUCUAUGGUUCUAUAUCAUAGAAUAGAAACGGCAUCAUGCCCAACUACUUUGGAUUUUUUACUACUUGUGUACAUACAAUAUGCUGAGGACUUAUUUGUCUCGCUCUGUUACUCCCAAGUGAUGCUCCCAUGAGGGAAGGCAAUUAAUUUACUCUGAGCAGUGGUUUCUAGGAACUUCAAUACAUAGCUGAGACGAUUCUCUCCGGGAUUGUCACACUGUAAAAUGUGAUAACAGCACAAAUAUAGGCUACAUUUUAUACUUAAGCAAUAAGGUCCGAG
This 2348-nucleotide long non-coding RNA is filed under the name Salmo salar (Atlantic salmon). RNAcentral's name for it is "lncRNA (ENSSSAG00000090222.1)". The record is from RNAcentral. Lineage: Eukaryota; Metazoa; Chordata; Actinopteri; Salmoniformes; Salmonidae.